AAGUCGAACGAGGGCUUCGGCCCUAGUGGCGCACGGGUGAGUAACGCGUGGGAACCUGCCCUGUGGUACGGAAUAACUCCGGGAAACUGGAGCUAAUACCGUAUGCGUCCUGCGGGACAAAGAUUUAUCGCCAUGGGAUGGGCCCGCGUAGGAUUAGCUUGUUGGUGGGGUAACGGCCUACCAAGGCAACGAUCCUUAGCUGGUCUGAGAGGAUGAUCAGCCACACUGGGACUGAGACACGGCCCAG
This 247-nucleotide ribosomal RNA is filed under the name uncultured bacterium. Its description in RNAcentral is "partial 16S ribosomal RNA". It matches the Rfam family "Bacterial small subunit ribosomal RNA", at positions 59 to 334 of the family's 1533-position model. The record is from RNAcentral.